This 1420-nucleotide long non-coding RNA is filed under the name Felis catus (domestic cat). RNAcentral's name for it is "lncRNA (ENSFCAG00000050901.1)". The record is from RNAcentral. Lineage: Eukaryota; Metazoa; Chordata; Mammalia; Carnivora; Felidae.
UUACAAAUUUCACAGGAUUUAUUGGCCUCAAUAUUAGAAUAUCAUCUUUUAUCUCUUCUCAGGUUGAUCUACUUCUUCCCAUCAAUGCCACACAUACUGGGGAAGAGGAGGUGCCCCGAUACUUACCUGGGUUAGGGGUCUUGCCUUGUUGGAUGUGUCAUGAUUUACACCACCAUCUGCAUCUGGCUUGUUCCUCUGGAGCUCUGGCCUUUCAUCUCUUCUCCUCACUGGAUUUCUGGCUUGGCCUUCUACUGGAGUCUCACUACUAUUCUUCUGAUUCUGAUAGUGACCUCUUCAACAGGUACAGUUUACAUCCAUCCACUGGAUGAGUUCUCUCCACUUAUGGGAACAGUCAAGCCUCUAGCAUGUCACCAAAAUGCUUACCUGUGGGACUGGGAUUUCUUUGCAAAAGGCAUCUGACUAUUCAUUCAACCCUUCAUAUAUUCAUUUUUCAAACAAUUUUUGAGGAAUUACUAAGCUGGGUAUUAUGCUAGAUGUCAGAGCUACAGAGACAUUGAAACAUGGUUCCUGCCUUAAGGUGCUGGUUCUCAGUCUAGUGUGGGAGACUGAUAACAAUACAGGAAAGUACAAUGCACUGAGAGCUUUGGGAGAUGUAAUCAUAGGGCACUUUGAAAACACAGCUGUGGAAGGUGUGUGUGUCAGAGGUGGAGUGGGAUGGGGUGUCAGAAAAGCUUCUGAGCAGAGCUGAUCUAGCAAAUAAUACCCACUGAAAUUGUUGAGUGACCAUGAAGAUUAUUAUUUUUUUCUCAUAGGGCCCUGGAGGGCCCACACACAUCUUUGUAUUUGGAGAUGAGUCACUUUACUCCUUGAAAUAUCAACUGAAUUGUUUUUGAGUAGAUGCAGGAUUAACAGACACGACCCUAUAAAAUGUUAGCAAGAGGAAUACAUUUAUAAAAAAUGCCUAGCAUUUUGCUGGAAGUAUCUCAGAAGCCACCAAGGAAUGCUAAUUCCCACUCAAGCCAUUACCAGUGGGGAAGCAAAAAAGCAUCUGAAGAGGUGCAGAUGUGGUGAAUAUGUAUACUUUUCUGAAGAGGCAAUUAAUACACACGGACAGUAUUCAAAAUGUAUAAGAAGAUAUACGGUAUGAGAGGAGCCUAAUUCCCUCUCUGGCCCCCCCCAUCCCCUAAUACUCUACUGGGAAGUGUGAGAAAUAAGCCCACUGUCCCAAUCAAAGGAGGGACACAGAGACUCAGAGCACAGUAAAGUGAGGCUUUAAAUCCACAUUCUUGCCAAGAGUGGAUGCUGAUGGAAAGGUGCACUCAGAGCAGUUACAGCAAUUUAUCUCCUAGCAUGAGUCCCUCCCCUGGUUCCUCACUGGCUGAGUACUAUGGAGGUUACAGCCUUACCUGGAGGUCGCCUAUGCUGUGUAAGGCCAAAAUGUAGCCUGAUUGGAACAAAU